GAUGAACGCUGGCGGCGUGCCUAAUACAUGCAAGUCGAGCGAACGGACGAGAAGCUUGCUUCUCUGAUGUUAGCGGCGGACGGGUGAGUAACACGUGGAUAACCUACCUAUAAGACUGGGAUAACUUCGGGAAACCGUAGCUAAUACCGGCUAAUAUUUUGAACCGCAUGGUUCAAAAGUGAAAGACGGUCUUGCUGUCACUUAUAGAUGGAUCCGCGCUGCAUUAGCUAGUUGGUAAGGUAACGGCUUACCAAGGCAACGAUGCAUAGCCGACCUGAGAGGGUGAUCGGCCACACUGGAACUGAGACAAGGUGCAGACUCCUACGGGAGGCAGCAGUAGGGAAUCUUCCGCAAUGGGCGAAAGCCUGACGGAGCAACGCCGCGUGAGUGAUGAAGGUCUUCGGAUCGUAAAACUCUGUUAUUAGGGAAGAACAUAUGUGUAAGUAACUGUGCACAUCUUGACGGUACCUAAUCAGAAAGCCACGGCUAACUACGUG
This 497-nucleotide ribosomal RNA is filed under the name uncultured bacterium. Its description in RNAcentral is "partial 16S ribosomal RNA". It matches the Rfam family "Bacterial small subunit ribosomal RNA", at positions 28 to 507 of the family's 1533-position model. The record is from RNAcentral.